UCCCACGAAUCUGUAGUUGACAGUCAGACCCCGACUGAGAAUCAUAGGGAGAACAGUCCUAAUCACAGUACUUGUUCUAGUACAACUUCAGAUGUGUUUCCUGAGGAAGACCAAUCAAUUAUACAAGAUAUUAAACAAAGAUCAGAAGGUAUUGCAAACAAUGCUAGAACCAGGUUAGGAUCUGUUGAAUCUUUGAGAAACAAAUUUGAAAAGAAACAAGAAUCAACUGAGACAAAAGGAGUCUCUCAGACGGAUACGAUACAACUAGCAACAGACUUCAAAGAAAAAUUAAAGUUAGCAGGAAAUGACUCGUGAAAUUGAAAAAUGUUCUGAUAUUCUAUGAUGGACAUGUGAAGGUUUUGUUUGUGUCGUGUUCUGCUUUCUAUUUGUUUAAAAAAAUGACAUUUGGAGGUCAACACGUGUUGUAGUCUUGUACUUAUUUAAAAUAUGUUGACUGUUUCGUAAAAAGUUGUUUGUUGAUUUGUUUUCCAGUGGUUUUUUUUCUCUAUAUGCCACAGAAGAAGUCCGUAAAAUACGUUACGAUUAAAAGUGGUAUAUGUGGUGUAUACGUCGAUGAGAUAUAGCAACACAACAACAAAUACACCAAAGAUAUC
Mytilus trossulus (common blue mussel) is the source of this 614-nucleotide long non-coding RNA. RefSeq lists it as uncharacterized. The transcript has 3 exons. NCBI's taxonomy places the organism in Eukaryota, Metazoa, Mollusca, Bivalvia, Mytilida, Mytilidae. The record is from RefSeq and is a predicted model, not a curated record.